Molecule: ribosomal RNA, 468 nt
Filed under: uncultured bacterium
Lineage: Bacteria
Description: partial 16S ribosomal RNA
Rfam family: Bacterial small subunit ribosomal RNA
Source: RNAcentral
GACGAACGCUGGCGGCGUGCUUAACACAUGCAGGUCGAACGGAAAGGCCCUGCUUUUGUGGGGUGCUCGAGUGGCGAACGGGUGAGUAACACGUGAGUAACCUGCCCUUGACUUUGGGAUAACUUCAGGAAACUGGGGCUAAUACCGGAUAGGAGCUCCUGCUGCAUGGUGGGGGUUGGAAAGUUUCGGCGGUUGGGGAUGGACUCGCGGCUUAUCAGCUUGUUGGUGGGGUAGUGGCUUACCAAGGCUUUGACGGGUAGCCGGCCUGAGAGGGUGACCGGCCACAUUGGGACUAAGAUACGGCCCAGACUCCUACGGGAGGCAGCAGUGGGGAAUAUUGCACAAUGGGCGGAAGCCUGAUGCAGCAACGCCGCGUGCGGGAUGACGGCCUUCGGGUUGUAAACCGCUUUCGCCUGUGACGAAGCGUGAGUGACGGUAAUGGGUAAAGAAGCACCGGCUAACUACGUG